GAUGAACGCUGGCGGCGUGCCUAAUACAUGCAAGUCGAGCGAACGGACGAGAAGCUUGCUUCUCUGAUGUUAGCGGCGGACGGGUGAGUAACACGUGGAUAACCUACCUAUAAGACUGGGAUAACUUCGGGAAACCGGAGCUAAUACCGGAUAAUAUUUUGAACCGCAUGGUUCAAAAGUGAAAGACGGUCUUGCUGUCACUUAUAGAUGGAUCCGCGCUGCAUUAGCUAGUUGGUAAGGUAACGGCUUACCAAGGCAACGAUGCAUAGCCGACCUGAGAGGGUGAUCGGCCACACUGGAACUGAGACACGGUCCAGACUCCUACGGGAGGCAGCAGUAGGGAAUCUGCCGCAAUGGGCGAAAGCCUGACGGAGCAACGCCGCGUGAGUGGUGAAGGUCUUCGGAUCGUAAAACUCUGUUAUUAGGGAAGAACAUAUGUGUAAGUAACUGUGCACAUCUUGACGGUACCUAAUCAGAAAGCCACGGCUAACUACGU
This 496-nucleotide ribosomal RNA is filed under the name uncultured bacterium. Its description in RNAcentral is "partial 16S ribosomal RNA". It matches the Rfam family "Bacterial small subunit ribosomal RNA", at positions 28 to 506 of the family's 1533-position model. The record is from RNAcentral.